This 493-nucleotide ribosomal RNA is filed under the name uncultured bacterium. RNAcentral describes it as "partial 16S ribosomal RNA". It matches the Rfam family "Bacterial small subunit ribosomal RNA", at positions 29 to 507 of the family's 1533-position model. The record is from RNAcentral.
AACGAACGCUGGCGGCGCGUCUUAAACAUGCAAGUCGAACGGCACGAAGGGGCUUGCCCCUUCUGAGAGUGGCGGACUGGUGAGUAACACGUGGGUGACAUACCUUUUAGUUGGGGAUAGCUAUUAGAAAUAGUAGGUAAUACCGAAUGUGACCGUACCUGUUAGAGGGGUACGAGGAAAGGAGCUAAGGCUUCGCUAAAAGAAUGGCUCGCGGCCCAUUAUGCUCGUUGGUGAGGUAACGGCCCACCAAGGCGAUGAUGGGUAUCCGGCCUGAGAGGGUGAACGGACACAUUGGGACUGAGAUACGGCCCAGACUUCUACGGGAGGCAGCAGUUAAGAAUAUUCCGCAAUGGACGAAAGUCUGACGGAGCGACGCCGCGUGGAUGAAGAAUGCCGAAAGGUUGUAAAAUCCUUUUAAGCCUGAUGAAUAAGCACAGUAGGGAAUGAUUGUGCGGUGACCGUAGGGCUUGAAUAAGCACCGGCUAAUUACGUG